AUUGAACGCUGGCGGCAGGCCUAACACAUGCAAGUCGAACGGUAACAGGAAGAAGCUUGCUUCUUUGCUGACGAGUGGCGGACGGGUGAGUAAUGUCUGGGAAACUGCCUGAUGGAGGGGGAUAACUACUGGAAACGGUAGCUAAUACCGCAUAACGUCGCAAGACCAAAGAGGGGGACCUUCGGGCCUCUUGCCAUCGGAUGUGCCCAGAUGGGAUUAGCUAGUAGGUGGGGUAACGGCUCACCUAGGCGACGAUCCCUAGCUGGUCUGAGAGGAUGACCAGCCUCACUGGAACUGAGACACGGUCCAGACUCCUACGGGAGGCAGCAGUGGGGAAUAUUGCACAAUGGGCGCAAGCCUGAUGCAGCCAUGCCGCGUGUAUGAAGAAGGCCUUCGGGUUGUAAAGUACUUUCAGCGGGGAGGAAGGGAGUAAAGUUAAUACCUUUGCUCAUUGACGUUACCCGCAGAAGAAGCACCGGCUAACUCCGUG
This 490-nucleotide ribosomal RNA is filed under the name uncultured bacterium. Its description in RNAcentral is "partial 16S ribosomal RNA". It matches the Rfam family "Bacterial small subunit ribosomal RNA", at positions 30 to 507 of the family's 1533-position model. The record is from RNAcentral.